Aedes aegypti (yellow fever mosquito) is the source of this 337-nucleotide long non-coding RNA. RefSeq lists it as uncharacterized. NCBI's taxonomy places the organism in Eukaryota, Metazoa, Arthropoda, Insecta, Diptera, Culicidae. The record is from RefSeq and is a predicted model, not a curated record. The transcript is spliced from 2 exons.
CUUAAUGAAUUGAUGGGAGAGAAACCAAAUUUUUAAUUAGUGAAUUUGUUGUAUCGAAUAUGAAAACUGAUUUUGUUGAAAGAUGUUGGUGUCGACUGCUAAUUCAUUUGAUCCCAUCCCAAACUUCAUAAAUUUCAAUUCAAAUAUAUAGAUGCAAAGGAUUCGAUUAAAUCGAUAAAUAGAUUCGACAGUUCAAAUGUGAAUCGAUUCAGUAACAUCGAUGCUAUGGAGAAAUUUGCUCAACGCUUUGUACACUGAAUCCUUAUACGAGGAAGUGAGGUAAUUUCUUUCUUGGUCUCUAUUGGACAGUUGACCGAAGAGGCUCAAGAGGAUGUAA